AACGCGUAGUCAAUCUACCCUAUGGACGGGAAUAACCUCGGGAAACUGAGAAUAAUGCCCGAUAGAACAUUAUGCCUGGAAUGGUUUAUGUUUCAAAUGAUUUAUCGCCAUAGGAUGGGACUGCGGCCUAUCAGUUUGUUGGUGAGGUAAUGGCCCACCAAGACUAUUACAGGUACGGGCUCUGAGAGGAGUAGCCCGGAGAUGGGUACUGAGACACGGACCCAGGCCCUAUGGGGCGCAGCAGGCGAGAAAACUUUGCAAUGUGCGAAAGCACGACAAGGUUAAUCCGAGUGGUUUCUGCUAAAGAAACCUUUUGUCAGUCCUAGAAACACUGAUGAAUAAGGGGUGGGCAAGUUCUGGUGUCAGCCGCCGCGGUAAAACCAGCACCUCAAGUGGUCAGGAUGAUUAUUGGGCCUAAAGCAUCCGUAGCUCGUUUUGUAAGUUUUCGGUUAAAUCCAUGCGCUUAACGUAUGGGCUGCCGGGAAUACUGCAUAACUAGGAAGUGGGAGAGGUAGACGGUACUCGGUAGGAAGGGGUAAAAUCCUUUGAUCUAUUGAUGACCACCUGUGGCGAAGGCGGUCUACCAGAACACGUUCGACGGUGAGGGAUGAAAGCUGGGGGAGCAAACCGGAUUAGAUACCCGGGUAGUCCCAGCUGUAAACUAUGCAAACUCAGUGAUGCAU
RNAcentral lists this ribosomal RNA (683 nucleotides) under uncultured archaeon. RNAcentral describes it as "bacterial SSU rRNA". It matches the Rfam family "Archaeal small subunit ribosomal RNA", at positions 95 to 779 of the family's 1478-position model. The record is from RNAcentral.